UACAUGUGGGGCAAGCGUUGUUCGGAAUUACUGGGCAUAAAGGGUGCGUAGGCGGCUUGUUAAGUCAGGGGGUGAAAGUUUUUCGGCCCAACCGGAAAAUUGCCUUUGAUACUGGCGAGCUCGAGUGCGUGAGGGGUAACCGGAACGAGCAGUGUAGCGGUGAAAUGCGUAGAUAUUGCUCGGAAGGCCAACGGCGAAGGCAGGUUACUGGUACGCAACUGACGCUGAGGCACGAAAAGCGUGGGGAGCAAACAGG
This 256-nucleotide ribosomal RNA is filed under the name uncultured bacterium. RNAcentral's name for it is "partial 16S ribosomal RNA". It matches the Rfam family "Bacterial small subunit ribosomal RNA", at positions 524 to 776 of the family's 1533-position model. The record is from RNAcentral.